This 519-nucleotide long non-coding RNA is filed under the name Theobroma cacao (cacao). RNAcentral's name for it is "long non-coding RNA (TCAC_LNC002488)". The record is from RNAcentral. Lineage: Eukaryota; Viridiplantae; Streptophyta; Magnoliopsida; Malvales; Malvaceae.
CCUAAAUAUCUCUUCCCUCCACUGGCAAUCCCUAGAUCUAACAAAAAAAAACUUGAAUCUUUCUCUCCUCUUUGCCGACGGGUUCUUGAUCGGUGCAAAGAGCUCCAAUUUCUCCCUCCUUUUCGGUCCUUAUUUGUUCCCUCUUGAUUUUUUAUUUAAUUUUAUUAUUUUUUAAUUAAUUUUGUUUAAUUUUUAUUUUUAUUAUAUUAUUUGAUUAUUUUAUUUAUUUCUUGAUUAAUUUUUAUUAUAUAUAUUUGUUUGUGUAAUAGGUGUCUACACUAACUUUUUUGGUGAGUUCUUGGACCGGAUCUAAGCCUAUUUGCCGAGCGUGGAGUUCUGGUUUUGCCGAGCGUAGACCGUUGUUGCUGCCGAUCUCCGUGCUUGCUCACUUUUUCCGGUUAGUGCUUGGACGGGAUCUUGUUGCUGAGCUUAUAAACAUGCUAUGUAAUUGAAGUUUGUUUAUGAAUGAAUUUCAAAACUGUUGAUGACUAUAAUUCCUCUUAAAGAUUCUAAACUAAU